UGCCAGCAGCCCCACCAGGCGUGGGGACCCGGCUGUUAACCGGGACGCGCUCGGUUCGAGUCCGAGGCUGGCAGCCA
RNAcentral lists this transfer RNA (77 nucleotides) under Nevskiaceae bacterium. Its description in RNAcentral is "tRNA-Asn". The record is from RNAcentral. Lineage: Bacteria; Pseudomonadati; Pseudomonadota; Gammaproteobacteria; Nevskiales; Nevskiaceae.